GACGAACGCUGGCGGCGUGCUUAACACAUGCAAGUCGAACGGAAAGGCCCUGCUUGCAGGGUACUCGAGUGGCGAACAGGUGAGUAACACGUGGGUGAUCUGCCCUGCACUUCGGGAUAAGCCUGGGAAACUGGGUCUAAUACCGGAUAGGAGCCAUUUUUAGUGUGAUGGUUGGAAAGUUUUUUCGGUGUAGGAUGAGCUCGCGGCCUAUCAGCUUGUUGGUGGGGUAAUGGCCUACCAAGGCGGCGACGGGUAGCCGGCCUGAGAGGGUGGACGGCCACAGUGGGACUGAGAUACGGCCCAGACUCCUACGGGAGGCAGCAGUGGGGAAUAUUGCACAAUGGGCGCAAGCCUGAUGCAGCGACGCCGCGUGGGGGAGGACGGCCUUCGGGUUGUAAACUCCUUUCGCUAGGGACGAAGCUUUUUGUGACGGUACCUAGAGAAGAAGCACCGGCUAACUACGUG
Molecule: ribosomal RNA, 465 nt
Filed under: uncultured bacterium
Lineage: Bacteria
Description: partial 16S ribosomal RNA
Rfam family: Bacterial small subunit ribosomal RNA
Source: RNAcentral